GCUGUGUGUGAGGCUGAAGGAUGUGCUGUGUGCUGGGGUGGUUGAGGUCCUGCAGGGCACUGAAGGAUGUGCUGUGUGCUGGGGUGGCUGAGGUCCCUCAGGGUGGUUGAGGUCCGUCAGGGCACUGAAGGAUGUGCUGGGGUGGCUGAGGUCCUGCAGGGCACUGAAGGAUGUGCUGGGGUGGCUGAAGGAUGUGCUGUGUGCUGGGGUGGCUGAGGUCCGUCAGGGUGGUUGAGGUCCGUCAGGGCACUGAAGGAUGUGCUGGGGUGGCUGAGGUCCUGCAGGGCACUGAAGGAUGUGCUGUGAGGCUGAAGGAUGUGCUGUGUGCUGGGGUGGCUGAGGUCCCUCAGGGCACUGCAGGAUGUGCUGGGGUGGUUGAGGUCCUGCAGGGCACUGAAGGAUGUGCUGUGUGCUGGGGUGGCUGAGGUCCCUCAGGGUGGUUGAGGUCCGUCAGGGCACUGAAGGAUGUGCUGGGGUGGCUGAAGGAUGUGCUGUGUGCUGGGGUGGCUGAGGUCCGUCAGGGUGGUUGAGGUCCGUCAGGGCACUGAAGGAUGGCGUUGCCCCUUUUGUUUCUAUCACUUAGUUUGAGGGUUUUUUUUUUUUUUUUUGGUUGAGUUCUCAUAUCAAGUGGCCUGUUGCACAGUUGCUGGCUGACCUUGAGAAUAGCUGGAAUAUCAUGGGUGGUCUGAUUCCAAACCAUCCAGUCUGGCAGACCCUCAGGCAGGAAACCAUGCAUGCAUGUUAGGAAUCUGCUCAUAGAAAUGCUGUGGUGAAGGUCUGAAAAGCUGCAUGAAAUCCAGUGAGAGAAGCUCCCAGAGACUCUUAGGGUCAUAAAAGCACCAUUUGUCCUCAGAGUAGUCCAGCAUAGCCUACAUAGAGGUCUGUGUGGUGGUGUGCUUUAACUGCGAUCAUAUCCCAUUGACCUAGUUAACAUAUAGGCAGUACAAGGAUAUGUGUAGUGUUUUGUCCAAUUAAUGAAAGAUGUUGUAUGCCGUAUGUAGGUUUAUUGUGUUGGCAAUGUUUUGAUUCUCAUGGGGUACAGUAUUUCAGCUGUUGAUUGUAUGUCUGACUUUUUUGAUGUACAUCCUAAAAGUUCAGUUUAAUCACCCCUUCUCCCCACAGGCUGAUAACAGUCGUAGGCACCUUUUCCCUUCUUUAGGUCACGUGUCUCACUGGUAACUCAUAGCGGAACUGGCCCAAGUUUGCCAGGACCCUUACGGCACACUGACUGCAUCUGUGUUGUCUUUGUCAUUUGUUUUUGUUUGUGCUCAG
This is a long non-coding RNA of Clupea harengus (Atlantic herring), 1272 nucleotides long. RefSeq lists it as uncharacterized. Lineage: Eukaryota; Metazoa; Chordata; Actinopteri; Clupeiformes; Clupeidae. The record is from RefSeq and is a predicted model, not a curated record. The transcript has 3 exons.